Molecule: RNA transcript, 1852 nt
Organism: Magnolia sinica
Lineage: Eukaryota; Viridiplantae; Streptophyta; Magnoliopsida; Magnoliales; Magnoliaceae
Gene name: mitochondrial import inner membrane translocase subunit TIM17-2-like
Exons: 5
Source: RefSeq, a predicted model, not a curated record
UUCCUUUCUCCACGAAACCGACCAGGGUCUCGCUCUUAAACCCUUGAAUUCUCUCUCCUGCCUUUCCUCUCAUCUCUCUCUGACCGAAAAUUCCUCCAACAAAAACCUCUCCUCUUCCUCUCUCCAUCCUCUGUAAAAAUCCAAGCUCUCUCUCUCUCUCUCUGAAUGGGAACCUCAGAUACGUCGCGUGAGCCCUGCCCAGACCGAAUCCUGGACGACAUUGGCGGGGCCUUCGGCAUGGGUGCCGUUGGUGGUUCCGCUUUCCAUUUCAUAAAGGGACUCUACAACUCCCCCAGAGGCGAGCGCCUCCUUGGCGGCUCCCAGGCCGUCCGUAUGAACGCUCCCCGCAUCGGCGGCAGCUUCGCCGUCUGGGGCGGCCUCUUCUCUGCCUUCGACUGCUCCAUAGUCUUCAUCCGCCAGAAGGAGGACCCCUGGAACUCCAUCAUCGCUGCCGCCGCCACCGGCGGCUUACUCCAGAUGGGCCAGGGCCUCCGCCCGGCCGCACGGUCCGCUAUCUUCGGUGGCGUCCUUCUCGCCCUCAUCGAGGGCACCGGCAUAAUGCUCAACAGGGCUCAGAACUUCCCGCCCAUGGAGGAGCCGAUAACGAACAUGGCCGGUGGCGGUGCUGGGUUCCCGAUGAUGGGGUCGAUGCAGAGCCCCACCCUCUCGCAGGCGCCAGAUGGGUCCAGUGAUGGGUCAUUGUCGUCUUCAUCUUCUUGGUUUGGGGGUUUUUUUGGUGGCGGGAAGAAGCAGGAGACUGCAAAGGGUGGCAGUAAGACAGAGAUUUUGGAGAGCUUUGAUACACCAAGCCUGCCGAUUCCCUCAUUCGAGUACAAGUGAAAUGCUGAUAUCGAUGAUUUCUAAAGAUAAAGAAACCGUUAGGUGUAUUCGGGAGUGGCCAUGUGAUCUGGAGAAUGUUCCCCUUGAGCAAAGAGAAAAAGCAAAAGAAGUGAUGUAUGCUUACGAGCAAAAGAAGAUCCAAGAGCAUGACUCUUAAUCUUUUAGUGUUGUUUCAAAUAAUGAGUUUAUUAGUUGAGAUCAUAAGCCAAAGAAGCAGUUUUGUUCGCCUCCCUAUGACUUCGGGUUUGUUUUGAUGAAAAGCACCAAAUUGGAGGGGUUUUAAAACAUCAUAGUAUCUUCAAGCAACAGCUCAAAAUAGCAGCAGAUCUGCUGGGCAUGCAUCUCUCCUUACAGUGUUUUGGUGUUUUAUUAGCAAUUGAAUAAGGUGGUGAAGUUUUCAGGUGAAAUGAAGUUGAGUUGCAAGCAUGCAACUUGUGGUGUUCUUCUCAUCUAACAGUGACGUCUUGAAGCAUCUGUAUUUUCUCGUCUCCAUCUUUGGGUGAGGAAGACUGCAUCAAUCCUCUGAGCAACCGCCUCUUCUGUCCUCACACUGGAGAAGGAAUCUCCGCCCAGAACUGCCUCUUCUGUGUAGGGGUUAUGCGUCACAAGCUGGAGUGAGUAAGCCCUUGCUGGCCAGCUUCCUCAUAGGUGGAGAAAAGAACUGUAAGAGCAGUCAUUAGACUUGCUAACUUGUAGGUGACACUCCUCCCAUGUAUGGUAAAUUCCAAGCUGCCUCUUGACGAAAAUAACAUAAUUCUUCACUGUUCCAUUCAGCUGUAAGAUUUGUCAAAUAGACAAUUGGAUACAAAAUUCACAUCAAGUCAUCAUACAAGAACUUAUAUAACAACAUACUGCAUGGGGUCAAGUCGAAGGCAUUUCCUGUAUGGUGCGGCAGUAACUGUAGGGUAGUGGAGCUGAAAGCCUUGUGGGGUCCACGUGAUGUGCGUAUGACAUACAACCUUUGUGAAAAUGUUCAACCUACCAUGAUGAUCAGUUGAACAUAAAAUGAUGU